RNA transcript from Liolophura sinensis, 2965 nucleotides. RefSeq lists it as uncharacterized. The transcript has 5 exons. The record is from RefSeq and is a predicted model, not a curated record. Lineage: Eukaryota; Metazoa; Mollusca; Polyplacophora; Chitonida; Chitonidae.
CAUUGAGCUGUCUUUUUUUUUCUAAAAUCACAAAAACGUAAAAGCAAGAUUAUUUAGCCACAUAUUUCUCUUCCCAGGAAAAGUUUUUAUCGGAAAGACGAUAUUUUAACACAAUGGGAGUGACGCUGGAGCGAGUACAGAACAAGUUUGCCUGUAUUAUUGGAGAACUCUGCAGUGAGCCUGUCAUCUUGUCACAGUUCGCAAUAUGGGUGGACCUGAGGAUAGCAGAGUACAAGGCUAAAGGAGCUAUAUCACUAGAUUGUUCAGGAUGUGAUCCAGACCCAGCUUGGUUAAAGGGGCACGUAACUCAACAUCACAAACCAAAAGCAAGGGAGAAAACUAUGUCAUUAGCUCACUUGCCUCAGGAUGGUGAUGGGCCGGGCAUGAGUUUCCCCAGCAACCUUGAAACCUGUGAGAGAUUGUCUCCUGACAUUGUUGUUGUUAAGGAGGAAGCCGGGUCAGAGCACGAGGAAAAUUGCGCAGUUUAUUCUCCCCAUUUUCGAAGGAAAAGAAAUAUUUCAAGUACAAGUGGUGGAGAUGAUCCCUGCCAAUCAAAUGUGUUACGUUCCAAAAUCCCACGGUUAGCCGCGACAUCUGAGAGUCCACCCCUGGUGUUUGAGCCCGUAAACGAAAGCUUGAUGUCGAUAAUCGGCAACAGUGACCAAGGAGGACAUGAAGUGAGCACAGAACCUGAGGGAACAGUGACUGUUCCUCAUGUGAAUAAUUUAUUCAUGAACAGAUACCACACACCAGCCUCAAGCGAAGACACAGUUACAGUCAACGUAGAUUCUCAAGAGGCAUACAAUAACAGCAGAGGUGAGAGCGGUUCAGCGGUGGACAGAAAUCCGCUGUUCUCGGCGUGUUAUGGGGACAUUGUAACGCACAGUCACACUAGAACACCGAACAUUGCCGCCCUGAGGUCUAGAAUUCUGAACCAGGAUCAAAAAGCUAGUUCUACUGUACGUAAUAUGGUGGCCGCUGUAGCCAGCUUUGAACGUUGGUUGUCUGCGAGUCAUCCAGAAGAAACGCGCUGUGUAGAACACAUCCCUCCACCGGAACUGGACCCUUACCUGGCUGAUUUUUUUCUUAACGUGAAGCAACCGUCAGGACAAGAUUACAAAGUAGACUCCUUCAGACAGAUCCGUUACAACCUGGACAAGUUUCUUCAGGAUCACAGCUACCCUUGUACGCUCACGGAUUCCAGUGAGUUCAAGGAGACCCGUCUGGCCUUCCGAAAAAGACUGGCUUAUUUAGGAAACGUAGACGCUCUCCGACAGCAUGGGGCACAUCUGUUUUCAUCCAGCGUGCCUUCUUCGACUUCUGAUAGUGAUGUGACUCCAUCGGAGAAAACCGCUGAUUCUUCAGCAAAUUAACUGCCACUAGCAUGAUUUCUAAAACUGAUGUGAAUUAUUUCAUCAACAGUAAUCUGGCCAUUUUAGCCCGCUUUAAAACAGGCCAUGUGCUAUUGUGUUAUUUUCAGCAAAGUCAAUCACUCCAGCUGGAGCGUGCAACGCUGAUUGGGACUUUCUAAGAGAAAUCUACGUUAUCUUCGGUAAAAUGCCUUCAUCCUGCUAACCAACCUGCAGUUGCGCUCGUCUGAGGGUUUUCCAGUACGCUUACAUGUAUGUGAUUUCCCAGAGAAGAACGGUGACUCUUCAGCGAUGUGAAUCGUUUCAAUGUUGGCAAGCGUGGGAUUUGCAGUGCCGGCGCCUUAUACGGAUGUCACCUCCUGACAGAGUAUUUUUCCCCCUCGCUCUAGUUAGCCAUUUUCCGAGAAGUGUAAACAUUCUUCAGCAACGCUUGGAAGUACAACGUUUGGUGGUAUAACUUUUCCCGAGAAGUGUAACCACCCUUCAGCAACGUUCGGAAGUGCAACGUUCGGUAUGAACUUCUUCCGAUAAGUGCAAUGAUUCUUCAGCAAACUGGCCAGCGCCAUUUGGCCAGGGUGAAGUUCGGAACUCCAGCGUCAGAUGGUGGUAUGACUUUCUCCCGAGAAGUGUGAUGAUUCUUCAGCAAACUGACUCGUGCCAUUUGGAACUGAAGGUCAAGAGGCCAACACACUCGCCAGCUUCCCAGCAUGCAGCGCGGUGUCGGGAUCCAGUGAACACUCUCAUUCAAUUCCAAGUGAUCGGAUGUUGAACGUUUCACGACUGAAAGCCAGAAUUUUAAACAAAGACCAAAAAGCUAGUUCUACUGUGCGAAACAUGGUUGCGGCCGUGGGAAGUUUUGAGAGAUGGUUGGCUGUGAGUCACCCGGAAGAUAAGCGCUAUGUUGAAAGCAUUCCUCCGCCAGAACUGAAUCUGUACCUCACGGACUUCUUUCUGACUGUCAAGCAACCGUCGGGACAAGAUUACAAAGUAGACUCCUUCAAAAAGAUCAAAUACAACUUGGAUAAAUUCCUUCAGGAUCACUCGUAUCCAUGUUCUUUAACGUCACAGGCAUUCACUGAGGCGAAUGUGGCUUUUAAACAACGACUUUUGGACUUAUCAAAGGACGCUUUACCUGCAGCGAAGGCUCUAUUGUCAAACUUUAGACAGCUGAGCUGACCGAUAAAGAUGUUUCAACUACCGUAUCAACUGUUGUUUGAAUCCAGUUCUUCCAAUAUUUGACUCCAUAAGGCUGGCUUCAUAUUUAUGGAAGGUUUUUUGACUUAGGUUAAAAAUUCAAAUCCAACCGAAAAUAACAUAUUUAGCCCUUGCCUGAGAAAUUUAACAUUUGCUCUCUGAUUGUUUUCUGCAAAACAAUGUAUUUACCACAAUUUGAGUUUAUUUCCUGUUCUCAGUUUGGCUUUUUAAUUUUUUGAAAUUUCUGACUUAAGUCUUAAGCUGUUAUUACUAUUAAUUAUUAUUAUUAAUACAUACCCUAAUACUUUAAUUUCAGACCAUAGCUUGUUGAUUGAUCUAAGGAGCUCGAUAUGACACAAGACAUUGACUAAAAAUUCCGUUGUCGUGCUACAUGGCAGCAU